GAUGAACGCUGGCGGCGUGCCUAAUACAUGCAAGUCGAGCGAACGGACGAGAAGCUUGCGUCUCUGUUGUUAGCGGCGGACGGGCGAGUGACACGCGGAUACCCUACCUAUAAGACUGGGAUAACUUUGGGAAACAGGAGCUAAUACCGGAUGAUACAUUGAAUCGCAUAGUUCACAAAUUAAAGACGGUGUUGCUGUCACUUAUAGAUGGUUCCGCGCUGCAUUCGCUAGUUGGUACGGUACCGGCUCACCAAGGCAACGAUGCAUAGCCGACCUGAGAGGGUGAUCGGCCACACUGGAACUGAGACACGGUCCAGACUCCUACGGGAGGCAGCAGUAGGGAAUCUUCCGCAAUGGGCGAAAGCCUGACGGAGCAACGCCGCGUGAGUGAUGAAGGUCUUCGGAUCGUAAAACUCUGUUAUGAGGGAAGAACAUAUGUGUAAGUAACUGUGCACAUCUUGACGGUACCUAAUCAGAAAGCCACGGCUAACUACGUG
RNAcentral lists this ribosomal RNA (497 nucleotides) under uncultured bacterium. RNAcentral's name for it is "partial 16S ribosomal RNA". It matches the Rfam family "Bacterial small subunit ribosomal RNA", at positions 28 to 507 of the family's 1533-position model. The record is from RNAcentral.